RNAcentral lists this ribosomal RNA (485 nucleotides) under uncultured bacterium. Its description in RNAcentral is "partial 16S ribosomal RNA". It matches the Rfam family "Bacterial small subunit ribosomal RNA", at positions 28 to 507 of the family's 1533-position model. The record is from RNAcentral.
GAUGAACGCUAGCGGCAGGCUUAACACAUGCAAGUCGAGGGGCAGCGCGGGAUAGCCGUAUCCUGGCGGCGACCGGCGGAAGGGUGCGUAACGCGUGAGCGACAUGCCCGUUGCCCGGGGACAACCGGUGGAAACGCCGACUAAUCCCCGAUGGGAUAUUGUGCCGCAUGGCACGAUAUUGAAAGUUACGGCGGCGGCGGAUUGGCUCGCGUCCGAUUCGCUGGUUGGGGGGGUACCGGCCCACCAAGUCUGCGAUCGGUAGGGGUUCGGAGAGGAAGGCCCCCACAAUGGGACUGAGACACGGUCCAUACGCGUACGGGAGGAAGCAGGGAGGAAUAGUGGUAGAUGGGAGGAAGCCUGAACCAGCCAUGCCGCGUGCGGGAAGGAGGCCCUAUGGGAUGUGAACCGCUUUUGUCUGGGGGGAAUAAGGGCGUCGCGCACGUCCGAUGAGAGUACCAGGCGAAUAAGCAUCGGCUAACUACGUG